GCCACCUGGGCCUUGACGGCCUCGCCCAACUUUAUUAGGUCCGCCUUCUCAGCAGCAUGAGCUUCGACCAGUCUUUGCUUCUCCAGCUCGUGUGCAGCUCGGAGUUUGGACGCCGCCUCUUCCGCCACCCGCGCCUCCAGGACCCCAUCCGCCUCCAGAUACUUCUGGAUGGAGGCAAUAAAAACAGCACUCCCUUUGGCAUUCCGCAGCAAGACGGGCAAAGGAACCUUGUCAAAGGCCUCCUUAGCAUUGGCAUUCAGGAGAGCCUGUUCAAUAGCCCGGGGGACGUGGACUUGGGAGAUACGGUCCUGAGCCCCCCUAACUCCCCCCUUCCUGGUCGGCUC
Molecule: long non-coding RNA, 344 nt
Filed under: Lupinus angustifolius (narrow-leaved blue lupine)
Lineage: Eukaryota; Viridiplantae; Streptophyta; Magnoliopsida; Fabales; Fabaceae
Description: long non-coding RNA (LANG_LNC003502)
Source: RNAcentral